AGAAAAAAGAGAGCCGCAUUUGCGCAUGCGGUUGUGACAUCAGCAUGGCAGGUGCAAAGAGCCCAUUCAGCAGGGGGGAAUGUAACAGUGUUUAGAUUAGGUUAGGUCAGUGCAAUGGGGAAAUAGCGCCCCCAUCUCUGUGUGGCUGGUUAUAGGUUGCUGGCCCAUGUACUCAGUGCCAGUCUGAGAAAGCUGCACGAAAGGUGAGUUGCAUUCUUCAGCACACAGUAUAGAAAAGUGUUAGCAACACAUAAAACAUAUUUUUUAUUAACUUAGACAGAUAGUGUGUAAUGACUAUUUACUAGAUGUGUGCCUGGCACCAAUUUUUGUAUUUUUAGUUUUGUUAAUAUAAAACACUUCAUGUGCAAAGUUAUAAGCUAACAGAAUGCUCUGUUGUAGUGUGCUGAGUGAAGCUGAGCCGUUGCACUAAUUCGAACCCCGAUAUGUUCUCAUUCAGGAAAUAAACUGUUGUGGAUCUCCGGAGGACUGGAUGAGGUUCCUGCGGCCUUCUCCACCAGGGGGCGUUCAGGAACAUCGUAGUGGGCGUGGUCGGCGGAUCCUACCGGCACACCUGCUGCCACUUACCUUGUUGGGAGGAGUAUUUCAGGAGGACAUGUCAACACUCUAGUGCCAGAGUGUUAGCUCGUAAAUGGUUUCGUUGCCGCGGAACUGCCGGCAUUCUGUCCGUCUGGAUUUCCAGUGGCCGGAAGAAUCAUCGAGACCACACGACCUGGUCCUCCUUGUUUCCCGAAGAACCUGUCUCACCUGUCCGCCCUCCAACGCCGCAGUCGCCCGUCCUCUCUGCUCCAACCCCUGAUCCACCGUGCUGCCUAUCCCUCUCAGCUCCGCUUUUUCCACCAGCAAGUAAGGCCUCGAACCGCUGAACUUCCGUUUCCCUCCCGUCACUCUGUUCUCACUUCUGUGUUCCUCUUCAGGAAGACCAUUGGUCCGGUUCCGCCCUCCCGAGUGUCACAUCCUGGAUGUUUUUCACAUUUUGCACCGUGUUUAUAAUAAAUCAUUGAACUUAC
Xiphophorus couchianus (Monterrey platyfish) is the source of this 1028-nucleotide long non-coding RNA. RefSeq lists it as uncharacterized. The record is from RefSeq and is a predicted model, not a curated record. The transcript is spliced from 2 exons. NCBI's taxonomy places the organism in Eukaryota, Metazoa, Chordata, Actinopteri, Cyprinodontiformes, Poeciliidae.